This 71-nucleotide non-coding RNA is filed under the name Oscillospiraceae bacterium. Lineage: Bacteria; Bacillati; Bacillota; Clostridia; Eubacteriales; Oscillospiraceae. The record is from RNAcentral.
AGCCGAAACGGACAACCUCGGUUGUCCGUCCGCGGGAAAUGACCUCCCCGCGCUGAUGAUGGCAGGUCGAA